UACUCUGUAUGCCCUUAGGUCAAUUAAUCGGCUGAAUAGAUAACGGCUACCAUUUACUCGCAGUAAAACCGCAGUAUGACCUUAUCAGUUUGAGAAUUAGAACUGCUGAGACCUAGUUGUAUACUUCGUUUGCGCUAAAAGUGUAACGCGACUGCUCUAAUAAAAUGGAUUACUGCAACAUUUUAUACAUUGAUGCUGCUAGGACGCAUGACAUUUUUUGUUGAUACGAUACUAUUGUGUCUACCCUAGAAAAGAAAUAUUUAAAAUUACAGAACAAUAAACAGUAUUGGUUUAAGGAAGAUGGAAUUGAAUAACAAAAAGGAUCCCUUGAAAGACACGUUUACAUGGGUAUAUGACGAAGAGCCUCAUGCAACUCGAAGGAGAGAGAUUCUACGAGAGCAUCCUGAAAUACGCAGCUUGUUUGGAAUAGACACCAAGUCCAAGUAUUGGAUUACACUCACAGUAUCUCUGCAAGUGCUCACGGCAGUGUUCAUGAGAGACGCGUCAUGGACAUUUCUACUGAUAACGUCAUACAUCUGGGGAGGCACCUUGAACCAUUCUCUGUCGCUGGGUAUUCAUGAGUUGUCUCACAAUCUGAUGUUCUCAAAACCAAUUCAUAACACUUUCUUCAGUUUUUUUGCCAAUCUACCUAUAGCUGUGCCCUACUCAAUAACGUUUCAAAAGUACCAUAUGAUGCACCACCAAUAUCAGGGACAAUACAACAUUGACCCAGACCUACCCAUGGCCUGGGAAGGGUACUUCUUUAACAGUGCCAGUACUAAGGCACUCUUCUUGUUCGCUCAGCCGCUGAUCUACACGCUGGUUCCGCUAGCGAACCAGUACCUGCCAUUCACAUACUUAGAACUCCUACAAAUGGUCAUCCAAUUCACCUUCGACUUUCUUGUUGUUUAUCUUUUUGGCAUUCGAUCGCUGAUUUAUUUGUUAUGCUCAACCUUUUUUGGCUCGUCGUUGCAUCCUAUGGCCGGUCACUUCGUAUCAGAACACUACGAAUGGGUCAAAGGACAGGAGACGUAUUCGUACUACGGCCCCCUAAAUAAAGUCACCUACAACGCCGGCUACCACUAUGAGCACCACGACUUCCCUCGUGUCCCGGGCUCUAGACUGGUCCAUCUCAAGGCUAUUGCGCCGGAGUACUACGACCAUCUGUACAGUCACAAAAGUUGGGUGGCUGUUAUGCUUCGCUUCAUUUUUGAUCCAAGUAUAUCACCCUUUUCGCGCAUCAUCAGACCAAGCAAGCGUGGUUUGUACAAACACUCUUCUAAUACGCACGAAAAACGAACAAAUGAAGUGAAAUAAAACAACUACAAAUAGCUACUGCGUUGUAAUCUAGACAAUUCUCUGUUGAGGAAGCACAGACUACAGCAAUAUGUACGGAUUAAAUUUGCAUAAGCAGCACCCUGUGUGGUGCCAUGUCAAAUUGGCACCUUCAUCGUCGUUUGUACGCAGCGGUCUCCUGUUCGUUGGAUGGGCGGCAACCGACAACUUGAAGACUGUAAACUGCAACGAGGGAAAUUGGUCCUUUCAGAUGUUUUGGCUAAUCGAAGCGGUUCACGCCGUUGGGGUAAUCAUUUUCGCUAAGGCUCUUCUUCACUUCCUCUGUUCGUCGGACAGCUGCUGACAGGCGGCGCCUAAUUGGGUUUAACUUUUUUCGUCUUGACAUCGUUACCGGCCCUUUCGUUAUGUGUGGCUUCAACACGUCCCUGAUUCAGGGGAGGCACCAGCGUCACGACUUGCUCGAUGUUUACCUGGCAUUGUGGACAUUGGUCCGCGGAAGUAUUCUUGAGCGAACGUUCAGAAAGGACAUGGCCACAGGGCUUGAGAGCGACGAACCUGAUAUUACCAGUAGACUCGAGGCCUGAGAUCGGACAGAUAAAUGGGCCGGUGAGUCCGGACUUGACGUUGCUAGAAUUCACCUUGGAAAGCGAUUCUUCGUAUUUAGGAUUAACCGUUAUAUUCAACUUCAAGAUGUCCUGUUAUAGAACGCAAAGCAGGUCAGCUGGCCGAAAGAAGUCGUCCUGUUACUCUAUUUGUUCAGCAGCGCUUCCAGUACGGCCUCUAGGUUAAGCAAAUUUCCGAAGGGAUCGCAACAUAUCGGCAGAGAAAGCGGGAGAGAAGACAGCGCGCAAGUGGACCAACGAAUACGGAGUGCCUCAGAUGGGUCAAGGGUAAUCGAGUGUUUCUUAACUUUGACCUGGUCACUGCGAGUAGGAACUGUACCUCCGUCUGCGCCCAUGAAAAAGAGAACAGAAGACUGGGAAAACCGAAAAAAAAUACAGCUUAUUUCUUACGACCUAAAACUUACAAUACAAAGCAUCCUAAUUUCAUCCGAAUGAAUUCUGUUCAAUUUAAAGCCUUUAUCACCAAGAGUUUGAAAAACCAAUCUACAGAAGGACCCUAAAGGUCAUUGUGUACGUUUUCGUUACCUCAGCCACAUGGGCGUAUUACAACCCGCUGUGUCGUCAGACAACAUUUCAAUUUCAGCAGUAAUCAAACUUGAUGGACAAUUCUCCUAGCCUACACAUAUAUUCUGGUCUAGAGGAUUGCGUACCGGUAACGAACGUGAACACAAAACGUCACCGCCAGACAACUGCUACCCUUACAUUUUUUGGUCGAAAACAGGCAUAAUGAUUGCGCCUUCGAAUUUGUUGCGUUAUAGGUCGAGCUCUAAAAUAUUUUGAAGUGGGGUUUGAUUUAUUUCCUUUCUUGAGAUAUACACCUGUGUAUCGUCUGCUCGCAUUGUCUGCUGUUGACGCUUUUAUGGAGUAUUGUACAGGUGGCAAUGUCGCAAUUGUCGGCGGAGGCCAACUCGCCUUGAUGAUGGUUCAAGCUGCUAAUCGAAUAGGUGUAAAAACGACUGUUCUGACUAAGGAAAGUGAUUGUCCAUGCUCGUUUAUUGAUACUAAUUUAUCAUUAUUUGAUCCAUCUUAUUUCUCUUCCAGUUGGGGGAACAAAGCAAUUGAAGAGCUAGACCCCCCUCCUAGUGUCGUCACGUUCGACUACGAAGGCGUAGAUGUUAGUGGGGCGAGCCGUAAUUUACCGGGAUAUAUUAUUUGCCCAUCGGUCGAAUGUCUUUCAAUAAUUCAAAAUAAAUUUAAACAGAAGACGUUUUUUAAAGAGAAAGGCAUCCCUACUGCGCAAUUUAGUUCAAUACAGAAGACCUAUGAAAGGGGGGUAUUUCCCUUCCUUAUCAAGUCUAAUUUCGGAAGUUAUGAUGGUCGUGGCGUAAUUUUCGUGGGUUCCAAAUCAGAAAUGCCUGCAAUGGAAGAACUUGAUAACCAUUAUGUUGAAGAAUAUGUGAAUUUCGAUAAAGAGCUUUCAGUGAUAGUUGCUAGACGUCGCUGCCCCGUUAAAGAUGCGCCUGACUUAACGGAUUUUGAUCAAUCAGGUUUUCGAUUUGUAAAACAUGAAGUGGAAGUCUUCAAUUAUCCUGUCACUGAAUCGUUCCACUGCAACGGUAUUCUGCACGUUUCAAAGGCACCAGCCGAUAUACACCCGUCUAUCAAAAGGGAGGCCGAAGAGCUUGCCUGCAGAACUAUUGCGGCGUUACCCGUUGAACGCGGGCCAGACGGCAAAGACACAACUGCUGGGAUCUUCGGCGUUGAGCUCUUCUUGGUUUUUGAUACUAAAGAAGAUAAAGAGAGCAGCAAACCUAAUUUCAAACUCUUUGUUAACGAAAUUUGCUGCCGCCCUCACAACACCGGUCACUACACUAUGGAUGCUUGUCUUGUUUCCCAAUUUGAGCAACACCUACGGUGUAUUCUUUCUAUUCCUCUGAAGCCCAUGGUUAUGAGGGAAAAGUACGCAUUGAUGAUCAACGCCUUGGGAAAUUCCAAACUAGGCAUCCAGUCUCUGUUAGAUUGCUUUCAGAAAUCAGAGACAUUGCCAGCAAAUGUUCAUGUCUAUACAUAUAGAAAGAAAUUCAUGGAAGGUCGAAAAUUGGGACACAUCAAUAUAGUAGGGUCUACUCUUGAAGCAAUUAAGGAAGGUUGGUCUCACGUAAUGAAAUACAAAUGGUUUGGAGACGACUUUUUGAAAACUCUAGACCAAGAAGCGUUACUUAGAUGGGAGGAAGCCACCAAUUCGCGGGCUACAAAAAUACAUAACGCUGUUGAUAAUCAACCUCUUGUUAGCAUCAUCAUGGGAUCUAUUUCUGAUUUGGAAGUUAUGACAGGUGCAUCAUCGUUGCUGUCAAGCAUGCAAAUUCCCUUCGAAAUGACCAUUGUCUCUGCUCACCGUACUCCAGAGAGACUGUACGAAUAUGCAUCAUCCGUCAUGAAGAGGGGCAUUAAGGUUGUCAUUGCCGGCGCGGGGGGCGCUGCUCACCUCCCGGGCAUGGUUUCCUCCUUGACAUCUGUACCGGUCAUAGGGGUUCCUGUCAAGUCAAGGGCUCUUCUUGGAAUCGACUCAUUGCUCAGCAUCGUCCAAAUGCCACCGGAUAUUCCGGUUGCUACCAUGGCUAUUGAUAAUUCGAAGAACGCUGCGGUACUAGCAGCCAGGAUUCUGGGCUUGAGCAAUCCAGCUAUUCUCGAUGCAGUAAAGGCUUUCGAACAAGCAUCCAAAGACAAGGUGUUUGAAUCUAUUAAACAGAUAGAUGAAAAAAAGCCCAAUUAAUAUCUGCGCGGCCAGCCGAAUUGGGCAAUAAACGCGCUCACUAAUGUGGGCCGUUGUAAGAUGCAACACAAUACGCGUUCCUAGCAAGAUAACAUCAUAAAAAAAAA
This is an RNA transcript of Schistocerca gregaria, 4739 nucleotides long. It is a transcript of the gene named sphingolipid delta(4)-desaturase DES1-like, with no coding region annotated. The transcript has 5 exons. The record is from RefSeq and is a predicted model, not a curated record. NCBI's taxonomy places the organism in Eukaryota, Metazoa, Arthropoda, Insecta, Orthoptera, Acrididae.